This 575-nucleotide ribosomal RNA is filed under the name Caryophanales bacterium. Its description in RNAcentral is "bacterial SSU rRNA". It matches the Rfam family "Bacterial small subunit ribosomal RNA", at positions 275 to 840 of the family's 1533-position model. The record is from RNAcentral. Lineage: Bacteria; Bacillati; Bacillota; Bacilli; Caryophanales.
GACGAUGCGUAGCCGACUUGAGAGGGUGAUCGGCCACACUGGGACUGAGACACGGCCCAGACUCCUACGGGAGGCAGCAGUAGGGAAUCUUCCGCAAUGGACGAAAGUCUGACGGAGCAACGCCGCGUGAGUGAUGAAGGUUUUCGGAUCGUAAAACUCUGUUGUUAGGGAAGAACAAGUAUCGUUCGAAUAGGGCGGUACCUUGACGGUACCUAACCAGAAAGCCACGGCUAACUACGUGCCAGCAGCCGCGGUAAUACGUAGGUGGCAAGCGUUGUCCGGAAUUAUUGGGCGUAAAGCGCGCGCAGGCGGUUUCUUAAGUCUGAUGUGAAAGCCCACGGCUCAACCGUGGAGGGUCAUUGGAAACUGGGAGACUUGAGUGCAGAAGAGAAGAGCGGAAUUCCACGUGUAGCGGUGAAAUGCGUAGAGAUGUGGAGGAACACCAGUGGCGAAGGCGGCUCUUUGGUCUGUAACUGACGCUGAGGCGCGAAAGCGUGGGGAGCGAACAGGAUUAGAUACCCUGGUAGUCCACGCCGUAAACGAUGAGUGCUAAGUGUUAGAGGGUUUCCGCCCUU